UCCUACGGGAGGCAGCAGUGGGGAAUUUUCCGCAAUGGGCGAAAGCCUGACGGAGCAAUGCCGCGUGAGGUAGGAAGGCCCACGGGUCGUGAACUUCUUUUCUCAAGGAAGAAGCAAUGACGGUACUUGAGGAAUCAGCAUCGGCUAACUCCGUGCCAGCAGCCGCGGUAAUACAGAGGAUGCAAGCGUUAUCCGGAAUGAUUGGGCGUAAAGCGUCUGCAGGUGGCAAUGCAAGUCUGCUGUCAAAGGCUGGGGCUUAACUCCAGACAGGCAGUGGAAACUGCAUCAGCUAGAGUGCGGUAGGGGCAGAGGGAAUUCCCGGUGUAGCGGUGAAAUGCGUAGAGAUCGGAAAGAACACCAACGGCGAAAGCACUCUUCUGGGCCGACACUGACACUGAGGGACGAAAGCUAGGGGAGCGAAUGGGAUUAGAUACCCCAGUAGUCCUAGCCGUAAACGAU
RNAcentral lists this ribosomal RNA (459 nucleotides) under uncultured Aerosakkonema sp. RNAcentral's name for it is "bacterial SSU rRNA". It matches the Rfam family "Bacterial small subunit ribosomal RNA", at positions 337 to 810 of the family's 1533-position model. The record is from RNAcentral. Lineage: Bacteria; Bacillati; Cyanobacteriota; Cyanophyceae; Aerosakkonematales; Aerosakkonemataceae.